CCUACGGGGUGCAGCAGUGAGGAAUAUUGGUCAAUGGCCGGAAGGCUGAACCAGCCAUGCCGCGUGAAGGUCAGUGCCCUAUGGGCGUUAAACUUCUUUUGUGCGGGAGCAAUAAUGGUCACGUGUGGCCAGACGAGAGUACCGUACGAAUAAGCAUCGGCUAACUCCGUGCCAGCAGCCGCGGUAAUACGGGGGAUGCAAGCGUUAUCCGGAUUUAUUGGGUUUAAAGGGUGCGUAGGCUGUGAGGUAAGUCAGCGGUGAAAUGCCCCCGCUCAACGGGGUGAAGUGCCAUUGAUACUGCCUGGCUGGAAUGCGGAUGCCGUGGGAGGAAUGUGUGGUGUAGCGGUGAAAUGCAUAGAUAUCACACAGAACACCGAUUGCGAAGGCAUCUCACGAAGCCGCGAUUGACGCUGAUGCACGAAAGCGUGGGUAUCAAACAGGAUUAGAUACCCGAGUAGUC
RNAcentral lists this ribosomal RNA (460 nucleotides) under uncultured bacterium. RNAcentral's name for it is "partial 16S ribosomal RNA". It matches the Rfam family "Bacterial small subunit ribosomal RNA", at positions 338 to 795 of the family's 1533-position model. The record is from RNAcentral.